UUGGAAAAAUAGAGAAAGGUGUGGAUAGUAAAACAUCAGCCAUGUUUCACUGCCUGGAAAUAGACAGUGGGGUUUUUGGGCAGAGUUUUCCCACUUGCUCCCACCCACAUAUUUACAAAGCCAUGAACACACACACAUGCGAAUGCCUAUAAAGAUUUGCAGCCAUCGCCUGUGGGAAGACUUGCUCUGCCCACUUCAUGGAAUCAAAGUUAGAAUUUAUUUAGAAAAGUAAAAUCUUUUUCACAUACCAAAUGGACUUUUAACUUCCAUGGGAAAUUUCAUAGUGACCUUGUGUAUUCUGCAAGCACCGGACAGACUGUCUUGCAAGAUGAUCUUGAAGAUCAAAAUUGUCAGGUAUAAAUACGAAAAUAUGAAAGGUAUUUUAUUUUAAAGUAAAGUCCAUGAGGGUGGCUUAUUUUCUUGAUCCUCAAACUUCCAGAUGGGGGUACAGUGAACCCCAGCCCAGGUUCAUCUGGACAGGCUCAGUGCAGGCACAGAUGGGCAAAUGUGUCAUUUUUCUUAAUGUACGUGGAAAAGAUGAGUUUUUAAAAAAAUUCGUCUCCUUUAACAUAUUUUCUGGUUUCUGUAUGUUUUGCCCAUGACAGAAGCAAUAUUUAACUUUCUAAGCAGAUAUCUACUUAAUCACAAGCAGAAUCACCACGCAGGAAUUCGCCUGUGUGCUCAUUCCUGCCUGUCCUGCAAUCGCACGCUGUUGUGCAGUGAAUCCACGUACCAAAGCAGAUUGCGUGUGAUUGAACCUGUCUUUAAUUUUAUCCCUUGGCAGUUUCCUUGCUGGUUUCCUGAAGUCCUUCCCCAACUCCCUGGCACCUGGGGUGAGGAUGGCGGAGCCCUGCGCGUCUGUCUAAAGGCCCCAGGGGUGCUGAGGCCUGCACAGCCGGGGACUCUGGUUGCUGUGGGUUCCUCUGCAGGCUGCUCUCUGCCUGCAGGUGGCAGCAUUUCACUUUCUAAUCCUUGUCUCCCUUAGGGACUUGACUUUCAGAAGAAUGGCACAGACUUUCUUUUCAAAAGAAUGAAUAGAAUUCAUAGACGGCCCCCGUAAACACCCUCCACAACUCUGGUUUGCUUUCUUUGGGUGAGCUCGCUUGGAAACCACUGUGAGACUACGGGGCUCAGUCCGACAUGUUGGUCAUGGACACACUGGGGCAAGGUCUCGUUCCAGAGUGCUGGAGAGGACAACAUGGACACACUCGUAGAAGGCGGCUGGAGUGAUGGAGGACAUACUGUGAGCCUUCUCUGCCCCUUCACUCCCAGAGUCCCUCACUGCGGUGUUUCAGGUGUAUUGGAUUUCCACCGCUGCACAAACAUUACCACAACACUGGCGCAAGGUGACGCCCCUUUAUCAGUGAGCAGUUCCGGGGCUGAGGUCGGCCCAGCCGGGCUGGGUUUUGGCUCGGGCCCCACAGGCUAAUGUGGAGGCAGCAGAGGGGCUGCAUUGCCCUCUGCAGCUCGGGGGCCUCUCCCCAGCGCAUGUUUUCAUGGUUGUAAAAUGCAGGCCCCUGUUUUUUUGUAGCUUCUGUACCACCUGCAGUCCCUGACACAAGCCCCGGCUCCAGGGCGGUGGGUGUUCCCUGCCCUCAGUCCGCACUGGACACCAACUCCCCUGUGUCUGACCCCAGGCCUUUCCAUGCCAUACCCUGAGUGGGGACCUAUCCACAGCCCCUUCAUAGCAGCAACAAACAUGUAUUCACGUGAAUAAUAGAGAACAUGGCCCCCACCAGGGCCUGUGGUCUCAGGGACUGCUGCAGACUGAAGGUUUGUGUCCGCCUGAGUCACGUGUUGACACCGACUCUUGCCCUUACCCCAGGCCCCCAGUGCUCCUUGCACCUUCCCCUCGUGAGGUUACAGUGAGAAGACAGCGGUAUGAACCAGGAAGCAGCCUCACACACGGGGGCUGCUUUGAUCAGGGACUUCCUGGCUUCCAGAACUACCAGGGACAACUGGCAGAAACCCAGCGCUUUCUCCUGCUUUCUCCUGUGCCACUGUUGCUCUCUCCUCUAAAAGGCAGAUUUUCCUCCCAUCAGCUCCUGAAGAGUAGUCACAAAGUGGAGGGUGCGCAGCUCAGUUUAGGCACCUGCACACCUCACCCUGCCAGAGGAAUGAGCCAUGUAGCCCUGUAAUUACAGCUGCACCAGGACCAGAAGAAUCACUUAGCAGGCAAAAACAAAACCAAACAACAAAAAACAGAAACAAAAACACUGUGAUUUCAAUGUGUGCCAUGCUUGAAGACAAACAGCACCUUUACGUGGGGCCUGAGAGGUCCUUUAAGGUCUUUAACACGACGAGGAAACUGAGACCGAGCAUCUGGGGAGAACUUGUCCAGGUUUCACUGCAGGAGGAGCUUUACAGGUGAGGCCAGCCAUGUCAGGAUGGUGCAGACGAUGCCGAGCAGAUGAGCUGCUUUUCUGCAGAUGAGGGCUCUGGCUCAUCUCUGAGGUCAUCCUGCAGAAGUGGCUCCUGUGGUCCAGCCACAGGCGGCAGGAAUUUUCAUGCCAUCCCGGACCCUAGUGAAGGUAGAGAAUCCUCCAGAGAAGCCACAGCUGCUCCUCUUGCAGGCUGGCUCCGGGUACCAGCUGUGUGACAGCUCCUGCUCCACGGUGCUGCCACCCAGGCCUAGAGGGAGCCAGGGCUCCUGGAGGUGGAGGCACAGGCAUGGCAGCCCUCCCAGCCCAGGGUGUGCUGCCCAAGCCACCUCCAGACCUCCCCUGCUGCGGGUGGGGGUGGGGCUGCUGGCUCACCCGCUCACCCCUGCAUUUUGCAUUUGUCCUUGAUCAAGGCUGCCCUGGGUGGCUUAAUGUGAUUUCUACAGAGUAACCACAGAGCACUAUAAAACACGUGUUGCCAUUCCUUGAGCUCUUACUGAGCCAGGCCCUGCAGGGCAGAUGGGAAAGGCCCACGAUGAGCUGUAUCCCUGGGAAGUGUGCUUCAGGCAGGAGUUAUUCCGCAAAAGGCUGCAGGAAAAUGAGCCGUGUUUAGGGAGGGAAGAUGAGUCUCCGGGCAGCUCAAUGCACUGUGUCCCUUGGCCCCCUCUCCUAGUGGCUGUGGAGAUGAGCUGAAGGUGCCGUGCAUGAAGGGCUCCCACAGUGGAGGUUAUACAGCUCUUCAGGUGCCUCCUGCCACAGCAGGGUCCCCAGGCAGCCUGGCCUCUCCCACACUUGGCUCAGCCGGGCAGAUUGCACGAGGGCGGAGUCACUUCUGGGCUUUGUGACCUCGGGCACCAACACGCCCUCUUUGAGCCUCAAUUUCCACACCUACAAAGUGGAAUGCAUCACUGACCUCACACAGGGACACGAGAGUGUGCACCUGUCAAGGAUUUUUAGCAGCAUUAAAAACAUGAAGCCAUUUGUACUUCUUUUGAGAAUGUCUGUUUAGUUCACUUGCUCAUUUUUUGCAUUGGUGUUACAGGGUUUUGCAAGGGAAUAGAUUUAACAUGGGACACAUAAUUAAUAGGAUAUUUUAUAAAAAUUACCCAAAAAGUCAAAUGCAGAGGAGUGGAAGGGAUCUAGCCACACACUAGAGACCCAAAUAAUCCAGCCAAGGGUCUGGACGCCACAGCAAUGUCCCACACAAGUCCAGCUGAAGGCCUAGAGUCCAAGGCAGUGUCCUCCACGAGUCCAGCCAGUGGCCCAGAGCCCACGGCAAGGUCUCAUGCUUGUGUGUAUUGAGGAUCUGCACCUGAAGGCCCAAAGGCCAGUGGUGGAAGACAGAAAACCUCCACCGGUGAGAUGAUUUGUGCCACCAGGCUGAGGGAUCCAUGCCGGAGCCAGAAAGUGAGGCUCACAGUGAAGAUCAGAGCUCCCCUGACCAGAACAGCAGCCACCCAAGCUCCUCCUCUGAUGAGAACACCCAGCUCCCAUCAGGAAAAUCAGCCUCAGCAAGCUUCUCCUAGAAAUCAACAGCCCUGAUCUUCCCCUCUAGUCCUCUUUUUAUGCCGUUGGCAACAGUCCUAAGGUCUCUGUAGGAACUGUCCCCAGUGAGGAAAAAUUGCAAAGUAGGAAACCAGACACCACGCCGUCACGUGCCGUGAAGCCAGUCAGCAUCUCUCCUCAUCCAGCAUGGAGCUGUACGUCUGACCUGGCAGACGGGGCUCAGGCAAGGGUCUUGAAGCCAAGCAGAGCAGAUACAGGAAACGAGAGGAGAGGCGAGGGAAGAGAGCUGUGCAUUCUGACACCCCGACAACAGUUUCUGCUACUGUGUCCCCUGCAGUUGGCGACAACUGGGACGCCUCUGUCUCCUGGUGUGGGCACUGUCUUCAGCACCACAUCGAAUGCUUAGCCCUGCCAGGGUAACGCCCUCACUCCACAGUAGAGAAGGCUGGCGCCAGAGUGGGUCAGCGGAGUGCUCAGUGGCAUGGUGGUCCAUGUGCCAACCAGCUGCCCACGGUGCCACGUGGGUUCCUGAGCUGGGGCUCAGCGGGUCCUGGAGCUGUGAUCACGGGCUGUAUUCCUUUCAGGAAAGGGCUUUCCGAAGGGUGUGGUCUGGAACCCGACCUUCUCUGAGUCCUGUCUGCGGAUGGCUGGGAAGGCAGGGUGGGGUGGGUCCACUCAAACUUUGUCACAGAUGUCGCCUGCCUGCCUGCAAGUGCCUUUGUCUGGAGAAAAGAUUAUUAAAGAGCUUUAAAUUCCCCACAGAACACAGCGAGAUGUGUGUGAGAUGCACAUGGCCCUGCGGUUGUUUGUCUCAUGUAUCUUUAACUGUAUUUGGUUAUUUUUGUUGUUACAAUCAAGGCGUUCUUUUUCUUCUCCCAAAUUAGAACUACCUGAAAUGAUUUAAGCAGAUGAUCAAAUUUUGCUUGGAAAAUGUAAUCACGCAAAAUAAAUGUAUUUUAGGAAGCUGUUAUUUCUUUUAAA
Molecule: non-coding RNA, 4868 nt
Organism: Heterocephalus glaber (naked mole-rat)
Lineage: Eukaryota; Metazoa; Chordata; Mammalia; Rodentia; Bathyergidae
Source: RefSeq, a predicted model, not a curated record